RNAcentral lists this ribosomal RNA (629 nucleotides) under bacterium SBF-A30-dsp. RNAcentral's name for it is "bacterial SSU rRNA". It matches the Rfam family "Bacterial small subunit ribosomal RNA", at positions 48 to 654 of the family's 1533-position model. The record is from RNAcentral.
CAURUAYAWGCAAGUCGAACGCACGAAGUUGAAAAGCUUGCUUUUCGACCAAGUGAGUGGCGGACGGGUGAGUAACACGUGGGUAACCUGCCCAUAAGAGGGGGAUAACAUCCGGAAACGGAUGCUAAUACCGCAUAUUUCAAAUGACCGCAUGGUCGCUUGAUGAAAGGUGGCUUCGGCUACCGCUUAUGGAUGGACCCGCGGUGCAUUAGUUAGUUGGUGAGGUAAUGGCUCACCAAGACAAUGAUGCAUAGCCGACCUGAGAGGGUGAUCGGCCACACUGGGACUGAGACACGGCCCAGACUCCUACGGGAGGCAGCAGUAGGGAAUCUUCCGCAAUGGACGAAAGUCUGACGGAGCAAUGCCGCGUGAGUGAAGAAGGUUUUCGGAUCGUAAAACUCUGUUGUUAGAGAAGAACAAGGAUGAGAGUAACUGCUCAUCCCCUGACGGUAUCUAACCAGAAAGCCACGGCUAACUACGUGCCAGCAGCCGCGGUAAUACGUAGGUGGCAAGCGUUGUCCGGAUUUAUUGGGCGUAAAGCGAGCGCAGGCGGUUCUUUAAGUCUGAUGUGAAAGCCCCCGGCUCAACCGGGGAGGGUCAUUGGAAACUGGAGAACUUGAGUGCAKAAG